GAGCUAUGAUGAGAAUUAAGAUAGUCAUGCACCACUCUGAUUUUCGUGCUGAGAUAUUUCUUUAUAACCCAUAUUUAUCUCUGAGCUC
Molecule: non-coding RNA, 88 nt
Organism: Beta vulgaris subsp. vulgaris (sugar beet)
Lineage: Eukaryota; Viridiplantae; Streptophyta; Magnoliopsida; Caryophyllales; Amaranthaceae
Source: Rfam